UUAUUGCAGCUGCAGUUGUCAUCAUGGUUUUUUUGACAUUGGUAUACCAUUCAAAAAAAGAUGCUUACGAAAACGAAAAGGC
This 82-nucleotide unclassified non-coding RNA is filed under the name Flavobacterium noncentrifugens. RNAcentral's name for it is "Flavo-1 RNA". Lineage: Bacteria; Pseudomonadati; Bacteroidota; Flavobacteriia; Flavobacteriales; Flavobacteriaceae. The record is from RNAcentral.